GCGAGAGUGCUGGAAUCGGCAGACAGGCACGUUUGAGGGGCGUGUGAAUUUCUUCGUGUGGGUUCAAGUCCCAUCUCUCGCACCA
This 85-nucleotide transfer RNA is filed under the name Oscillospiraceae bacterium. Its description in RNAcentral is "tRNA-Leu". It matches the Rfam family "tRNA". Rfam says of the family: Transfer RNA (tRNA) molecules are approximately 80 nucleotides in length. Their secondary structure includes four short double-helical elements and three loops (D, anti-codon, and T loops). The record is from RNAcentral. Lineage: Bacteria; Bacillati; Bacillota; Clostridia; Eubacteriales; Oscillospiraceae.